GGGAAGAGAUGGGGCUACCCUUGCUAAAGCAUAAGGUUGUAUUAGAUGCUAGAUGAUUUUUACAUUAAGCAAUGAUAACUCUAGCCUCUUGCUCAUCUGGUGAGGUCUGGUCUUAAUUAGCUAUUCUGUCCACCAUAAACUUAUUACCCAUUUCAAAGAUCACAUUGUUUAAACCUGUUUGAGAAGCAUAUUUUAAAGCAUUCCAAAGAGCCCAUGCUUCACCUUCCAUAACACCAAGACAUGGAAUAAUGUUGCAAAGAAAUUGAAGCUGUAAAUCCACCCAAACUGUCUCAAGCAAGCACCCAUACCCGUGCCA
RNAcentral lists this long non-coding RNA (316 nucleotides) under Glycine max (soybean). RNAcentral's name for it is "long non-coding RNA (GMAX_LNC000869)". The record is from RNAcentral. Lineage: Eukaryota; Viridiplantae; Streptophyta; Magnoliopsida; Fabales; Fabaceae.